This 253-nucleotide ribosomal RNA is filed under the name uncultured bacterium. RNAcentral's name for it is "partial 16S ribosomal RNA". It matches the Rfam family "Bacterial small subunit ribosomal RNA", at positions 524 to 776 of the family's 1533-position model. The record is from RNAcentral.
UACAGAGACUGCAAGCGUUAUUCGGAUUCACUGGGCGUAAAGGGUGCGUAGGCGGUCGGGUAAGUCUGAUGUGAAAUCUCACAGCUUAACUGUGAAACUGCAUUGGAUACUAUUCGGCUUGAGAGUUGGAGGGGGGACUGGAAUUCUUGGUGUAGCAGUGAAAUGCGUAGAUAUCAAGAGGAACACCAGUGGCGAAGGCGAGUCCCUGGACAACUUCUGACGCUGAGGCACGAAAGCUAGGGGAGCAAACAGG